Molecule: ribosomal RNA, 586 nt
Filed under: uncultured bacterium
Lineage: Bacteria
Description: partial 16S ribosomal RNA
Rfam family: Bacterial small subunit ribosomal RNA
Source: RNAcentral
UGGGGAAUUUUGGACAAUGGGCGAAAGCCUGAUCCAGCAAUGCCGCGUGUGUGAAGAAGGCCUUCGGGUUGUAAAGCACUUUUGUCCGGAAAGAAAUCCUUGGCUCUAAUACAGUCGGGGGAUGACGGUACCGGAAGAAUAAGCACCGGCUAACUACGUGCCAGCAGCCGCGGUAAUACGUAGGGUGCAAGCGUUAAUCGGAAUUACUGGGCGUAAAGCGUGCGCAGGCGGCUUGCUAAGACCGAUGUGAAAUCCCCGGGCUCAACCUGGGAACUGCAUUGGUGACUGGCAGGCUAGAGUAUGGCAGAGGGGGGUAGAAUUCCACGUGUAGCAGUGAAAUGCGUAGAGAUGUGGAGGAAUACCGAUGGCGAAGGCAGCCCCCUGGGCCAAUACUGACGCUCAUGCACGAAAGCGUGGGGAGCAAACAGGAUUAGAUACCCUGGUAGUCCACGCCCUAAAACGAUGUCAACUAGUUGUUGGGGAUUCAUUUCCUUAGUAACGUAGCUAACGCGUGAAGUUGACCGCCUGGGGAGUACGGUCGCAAGAUUAAAACUCAAAUGAAUUGACGGGGUCAUAGCUGUUUCCU